RNAcentral lists this ribosomal RNA (505 nucleotides) under Salmonella enterica. Its description in RNAcentral is "partial 23S ribosomal RNA". It matches the Rfam family "Bacterial large subunit ribosomal RNA", at positions 2228 to 2732 of the family's 2925-position model. Lineage: Bacteria; Pseudomonadati; Pseudomonadota; Gammaproteobacteria; Enterobacterales; Enterobacteriaceae. The record is from RNAcentral.
UGGACCCGUGAUCCGGGUUGCGGACAGUGUCUGGUGGGUAGUUUGACUGGGGCGGUCUCCUCCUAAAGAGUAACGGAGGAGCACGAAGGUUGGCUAAUCCUGGUCGGACAUCAGGAGGUUAGUGCAAUGGCAUAAGCCAGCUUGACUGCGAGCGUGACGGCGCGAGCAGGUGCGAAAGCAGGUCAUAGUGAUCCGGUGGUUCUGAAUGGAAGGGCCAUCGCUCAACGGAUAAAAGGUACUCCGGGGAUAACAGGCUGAUACCGCCCAAGAGUUCAUAUCGACGGCGGUGUUUGGCACCUCGAUGUCGGCUCAUCACAUCCUGGGGCUGAAGUAGGUCCCAAGGGUAUGGCUGUUCGCCAUUUAAAGUGGUACGCGAGCUGGGUUUAGAACGUCGUGAGACAGUUCGGUCCCUAUCUGCCGUGGGCGCUGGAGAACUGAGGGGGGCUGCUCCUAGUACGAGAGGACCGGAGUGGACGCAUCACUGGUGUUCGGGUUGUCAUGCCAA